Non-coding RNA from Paramuricea clavata, 1430 nucleotides. Lineage: Eukaryota; Metazoa; Cnidaria; Anthozoa; Malacalcyonacea; Plexauridae. The record is from the annotation of a GenBank genome assembly.
GAUUAGUAGGUUCAACAGGAUUAUGUUGUGUUCCAGAAUAAAUUUACAUUGAUCUUGAGGAUGGACCUAAAUAUUAGUGGGACAUUGAUUAAUUCAUUUUUAAAGCUGUUCAGAAAUCUAAUUGGUUAAAAUAUUUUUUGCAGGAGAUCCUUUGAAGAAGAAGUUGUGGUGUAAUACCUGUAACUUAAUCAUCAUCAUUAACUGAAUUUGAAGACUCUGUACUUGAAUCAUUUAAAGGAUUAGUGUCAGGGUCAUGCAUUGUGGGCUUUUGUUAUUGUUUACAUAUUACUCAAUACAUCAAAUAGUGAUAAAAAUACUUGUUUGGUACAUUUCUCAUAAAAAUCAGACAAAAAGAGCAAGGAUUUAUUUAUAAAAGGAUGGUUUAAAUAUAUGAUGGAUUGUAAACACUUUCCAGAUGACCUAAUCUAUUCGUCCCGAAAAAUGGCCGCCGGCAUGAGUUUGAGCCCGCAAAUUCUUAAAGGAAUGUUGAUGGUCACAGUGGUAGUACUAGUUGAUGGAACUGAACCAUAAACCUCCGACUAUAAGCCUUGGGCUUAUAUUAUUUUGUAAGCGAUUUUUGAUGGGAUUAUACAAGGGGGGGGCUUAUACAUGGAUGAUUUUUUGUGUUAGUGUAAUAGUAAUAAACAUAGUAAUAGUGAUAAAUAGUGGUAAUUAAGUGAUAAACAAUAGUGAUAAACAGGUGGGCUUAUAUUCAGGGGGGGCUUAUAUUUGGAAUGAGGUGAGCAUUAGUACACAGGGGGGGGGCAUAUAUUCGGAGGGCUUAUAUUCGGAGGUUUACAGUAUGGGUGCUCAGCCCAGAGUCUGAAAAUAAUAUUUAUAUACCUUUUAUUUAAUAACAUCACUGUAAAUGCAAGUAUUUUGUUUACAUUCGCAGCCUUUCAUACAUAUACCACAUAGGCGACAGAGCUAAAUGUACAUGUCACAAAAACUAUAUAUUCAUACACAUUAAAUACACAUUUGUAUGGAACACAUAAUUUUUUAGUAGUUCAAAAUAUAAAAGACAAAUUUCACAACAAAACAGAUUAAUAGGCAUUUAGUUUUCGUUAAUAUAUUUUACUAUAAUACUAUUUAGUACGUAAUUGUACCUAAACUUUUAUAUGAUUACACAGGAUUGAAAAAUAAUAUGAUACUACUGUAUAUUAAAUAUUAGACUCUCUACAUUAAAUUCUAAAAACUCAUUUUGUUUUACUGUAUAUUGAAGAAAACCAAACAUCCAACCUUUCCCAUAUAGUUGUCCAUUUAGAAUGUUGUAAAGUCAUUUGUUUUUAAACAUUUACAUGUAAAAACACAAUUCCUCUUCGUGGUAACUUCGUAACUGGAACAUAAACAUGUUUGAUAUAAAUUGAUUUGUAGUGGCUAAAAUCUCCGCAGUUUAUGUUCUUCGCGUCUGCAGGAACCGGCGUUAAACU